Molecule: ribosomal RNA, 621 nt
Filed under: Triticum aestivum (bread wheat)
Lineage: Eukaryota; Viridiplantae; Streptophyta; Magnoliopsida; Poales; Poaceae
Description: partial small subunit ribosomal RNA
Source: RNAcentral
AUGCACCGGCGAUGGGGGCCGCGCCGGCGUUCUGCCCGGCUGCAAGCCCUUGGAGGCCGACGGGAUCUCAUCGGCGCGCUCCCCGACGACCUGCUUAUCCUCGUCCUCGACCGCCUCCACUGCGCCGCCGCCGUCGCGCGCACCGGCGUCCUCUCCCGCCGGUGGCGCAGCCUCUGGGCCCGCCUCCGCCAGAUCGUCUUCCGCGACGUCCCGUACUGCUCGCUCGAAGCGGCGCUCGGCCGCCUCCCUAGUCCCCCGCCCGCUGUUUGCCUCCUCGACAUCCGCAUCCCCCAGCGCGUCCCUGAGGACCAGCGCGCCGACGAGGCCAGCGUCAAGUCGCUGCUCUGCGCAGCGGCGCUGCUCGAGCCGGAGAAGUUCGUCUUUGAGAUCCCCUCCGAUUCGGGGUUAAUCCACGGCUCCCUCGUCGUCAACCUGCCUUGUUUCCAACGCGCCACCUCCAUCGUGCUGAACCUUCGCUACGUCUUCCUCCGCGUGCCAGCCGGCGCCGAGUUUGCCGCACUCGAGACGCUGUCCCUCUCGUACUGCACCGUUGCCAUUGACCGCUUGCUCUCCUGCUGCCCACGCCUGCGCAAGCUCUACCUCGCUACUAUCCUUCAAUAA